This is a long non-coding RNA of Panthera uncia (snow leopard), 1645 nucleotides long. RefSeq lists it as uncharacterized. Lineage: Eukaryota; Metazoa; Chordata; Mammalia; Carnivora; Felidae. The record is from RefSeq and is a predicted model, not a curated record. The transcript is spliced from 2 exons.
GUGAAAUAUAAAAUGGUAUUUUUAAGACAGAUUGAUUAUAACUACACACAAUGCUUAUGUGUACAUUAGUAAAGACAGAUUAGUUUGAAUAAAAAUGGUUUAAUAUUUAUUACCUUUGGUAUAUUUAAGUUUGGAAAGAAAUCAGAAUGGAAGAGAUGUGCAGAAAGUUCUAAUACAAAAAAAAUUAUUUGCAUAAGAUAGCUGUAGUUUUCCUCAUAUAUCAGUCACCAGUAUUUUUGUUCAGUGUGCUUUUAUCUCUGCCUUUCAAAGGGGCAAAAUGGUAAGAUGCAGAAAGAAUAUAUUUACUCAUGUUUAAGAGAAAUGCUAUAGCAUAAAAUCUUUUCUCAAUUAUUGUUGAGUGCUAUUGUGGUGAUAGCAUAAUAUAGAGUAACAGGUACAAGGGAUGUUUGUUUAAACUAAGGGUAGGAGCACCUGGGUGGCUCAGUUGGUUAAGCAUCAGACUGUUGGUUUUGGCUCAGGUCAUGAUCUCGAGAUUCAUGGGUUUGAGCCCCACAUCAGGCUCCAUGCUGGCAGUGAGGAGCUUGCUUGGAAUUCUCUGUCUCCCUCUCUCUCUGCCCCACCCCUGCUCGCUAUGUCUCUCUUUCUCAAAAUAAAUAAACAUUAAAAAAAAUAAACUAGGGGCGCCUGGGUGGCUCAGUUGGUUGAGCAUCUGACUUCGGCUCAGGUCAUGAUCUCACAACUUGAGUUCGAGCCCCAUGUCAGGCUCUGUGCUGACAGUUCAGAGCCUGGAGCCUGCUUCAGAUUCUGUGUCUCCCUCUCUCUCUGACCCUUCCUCACUCACUCACUCUCUCUCUCUCUCCCCCAAAACUAAAUAAUAAAAAAAAAUUUUUAAACUUUUUUAAAAAAAGAGACAAAAAUUACAAAAAGGAACAAAUACAAAUCCUGUUGCUGAAAAGCAAAAGAACCGAAAUUCAAAAUUCACUGAAUUUUAGAGGGGUUCAACGUAAGAUUUCAAUAGGCCAAAAAAUGAAUAAAUGACCAUGAAGGUAAGUAAAUUAGGAUUAUCCAGUCUGGGGCACCUGGGUGGCUCAGUCGGCUAAGCGUCCAACUUGGGCUCAGAUCAUGAUCUCACAGCUUGUAAGUUCGAGCAAGCCUCGUGUCAGGCUGUGCUGACAGCUCAGAGCCUGGGGCCUGCUUUGGAUUCGGUGUCUCCCUCUCUCUUUGCCCCUCCCGUGCUCACACUCUGUCUCUCUCUCAAAAAUAAAUAACAGAAAAAAAAAUUUUUUAAUUAAAAAAAGAGACAAAAAUUACAAAAAGGAACCAAAUAACAAAUCCUGUUGCUGACAAGCACAAUAACUGAAAUUCAAAAUUCACUGAAUUUUAGAGGGGUUCAACAUAAGAUUUCAAUAGGCCAAAAAAAGAAAAAAUGACCAUGAAGAUAUGUAAAUUAAGAUUAUCCAGUCUGGGGCACCUGGGUGGCUCAGUCGGUUAAGUGUCUGACUUCAGCUCAGGUUAUGAUCUCAGUUCCUGAGUUCAAGCCCCACAUCAGACUCUGUGCUGACCACUCAGAGCCUAGAGCUUGCAUUGGAUUCUGUGUCUCCCUUUCUCUCUGCCCCUCCCCCCACUGACUCGCGCAUUUGCUCUCUCUCAAAAAUAAACACUUAAAAAAAAAAAAAAAAAAAAA